RNAcentral lists this ribosomal RNA (201 nucleotides) under uncultured bacterium. Its description in RNAcentral is "partial 16S ribosomal RNA". It matches the Rfam family "Bacterial small subunit ribosomal RNA", at positions 1300 to 1500 of the family's 1533-position model. The record is from RNAcentral.
GUAGUCUGCAACCCGACUACAUGAAGCUGGAAUCGCUAGUAAUCGCAGAUCAGAAUGCUGCGGUGAAUACGUUCCCGGGUCUUGUACACACCGCCCGUCACACCAUGGGAGUCGGAAAUGCCCGAAGCCAGUGACCCAACCUUAAGGAGGGAGCUGUCGAAGGUGGAGCCGGUAACUGGGGUGAAGUCGUAACAAGGUAAC